GAGUUUGACUGCUCAGAUUGAACGCUGGCGGCAGGCCUAACACAUGCAAGUCAGCGGAUGAGGGGAGCUUGCUCCAUGAUUCAGCGGCGGACGGGUGAGUAAUGCCUAGGAAUCUGCCUGGUAGUGGGGGACAACGUUUCGAAAGGAACGCUAAUACCGCAUACGUCCUACGGAGAAAGGGGGGAUCUUCGGACCUCACGCUAUAUAUGAGCCUAGUCGGAUUAGCUAGUUGGUGAGGUAAAGGCUCACCAGGCGACGAUCCGUAACUGGUCUGAAGGAUGAUCACUCACACUGGAACUGAACACGGCCAACUCUACGGAGGAGCAGUGGGGAAUAUUGACAAUGGCGAAAGCCUGUCCAGCCAUGCCGCGUGUGUAGAAGGCUUCUAUUGUAAGCACUUUUUUGAGGAGGGCAGUAGUAAUACCUUGCUGUUUUGACGUUACCACAGAAUAAGCACCGCUAACUUCUGCCAGCAGCCGCGGAUACUAGGGUGCAAGCGGUAAUUAAAUUACUGCGUAAAGCGCGCGUAGGUGGGUCGCUAUUUGAUGGGGAAAACCCGGGCUCAUCUUGGGGACGCAUUCAUACUUGCUGAGCUACAUUAUGCUAGGGUGGGGGAAUUUCUUUGCGGAGAAA
Molecule: ribosomal RNA, 633 nt
Filed under: uncultured Gammaproteobacteria bacterium
Lineage: Bacteria; Pseudomonadati; Pseudomonadota; Gammaproteobacteria
Description: bacterial SSU rRNA
Rfam family: Bacterial small subunit ribosomal RNA
Source: RNAcentral